UACGAAAGUGGCUAGCGUUGUUCGGAAUUACUGGGCGUAAAGCGCACGUAGGCGGCCUUGUAAGAUGGGGGUGAAAUCCCUGGGCUCAACCCAGGAACUGCCUUCAUGACUGCAAAGCUCGAGGAUGUGAGAGGUUGGCAGAAUUCCGAGUGUAGAGGUGAAAUUCGUAGAUAUUCGGAGGAACACCGGUGGCGAAGGCGGCCAACUGGCACAUUUCUGACGCUGAGGUGCGAAAGCGUGGGGAGCAAACAGG
This 253-nucleotide ribosomal RNA is filed under the name uncultured bacterium. RNAcentral describes it as "partial 16S ribosomal RNA". It matches the Rfam family "Bacterial small subunit ribosomal RNA", at positions 524 to 776 of the family's 1533-position model. The record is from RNAcentral.